UAUAUUUUCUCUCCCUUCAUUGUUACUUGCCCCCUUUAGUCUCUUCAAUAUUUUGUGCUAGUCUUGGAAUUGCUUGAUGCUUAAUGAACUGGUCUUCAAUGUGUGUGUAAGCUUAACCUAUUAUAUGAGCAUAUAUUGCAAAAGUUUUAAUCCAAAAAAUUUAAGACAUACACUGGGAAACAACUUUGGCUUAACACUAUGUUUGAUAAUCUAUGCAGCAUCGAGAGAUUGCUCGAAACCAAGAUAAACAUUUGCAGGACAAUUUCAAACUUAUCGAUACAACAAACAUGUGGGCGAGUUUAAGAGCUAUCAAGAGAUAUGCCGCCACUAAUGAAUCAAAGCACAAGAGGCACUCAGAUUUGAAGCUAUCACUCCCUUACUGUCAUUAGUUCAUUACUCUACUGAUAGCUUAUGUAAGAAUGAAUUCAAUGGGUCACUGCCCCAUGAAAAUGACUAUUUUCAAACUCUUCUACAGGACACAGCA
Molecule: non-coding RNA, 484 nt
Organism: Cajanus cajan (pigeon pea)
Lineage: Eukaryota; Viridiplantae; Streptophyta; Magnoliopsida; Fabales; Fabaceae
Source: RefSeq, a predicted model, not a curated record